Molecule: small RNA, 635 nt
Filed under: Vigna angularis var. angularis
Lineage: Eukaryota; Viridiplantae; Streptophyta; Magnoliopsida; Fabales; Fabaceae
Description: Non-protein coding transcript
Source: RNAcentral
UUUUUUUUUUUUACAUCUUUAUUUUUUUAUCAUUGAGCUUUUAUGUGCUGUGGUGUAAAUUAUUUUUGAGCUAUAUCUGAACUUUAUCAGUCAUUCUGUGAGUUGCCGAACACUGUAGUGGUCAGCGGUUUUGGCAAGCUAUGUUUAUUACUUAUGUAGCAAAAAAUUUAAACUGUUAAGAAUAUAUAUUAUUUAGAACAAUCAAAAUGUUAAUAUAUAUGUAUGACCUAUACAAUUUUUAUAUUGAAAUUAUAAUAGCUACUGGGAAUGUUUUGCCAAUUGCAUUUAUGCACGGGUUGAUUCCAAUUCUGUAUUAGGAAGUGAAUUUUGAACCUAGUUCAGUCCUGAAAUUGACUUGUAAGGUGGUCUUUAUAACCAUGAUUAGAUACUAUACUGUAAUUUUUAAUAUUUUUAGUCGAUGUAAAAUUUCCAGUAUAUUCUCUCAAUGAAUACUGGGCAUCUUAGAGGUGAGAUUAAAUAUUUAUAGGUGGUGUGUUAAGGAGUGAUAUGAUAGGUCUAACAAAUGUCAAUAGGAUAAACUUUAAUAUCAUAUUGUAGUGAUUGCUAGUAGUUGUGUGUUAUGUAUACAUAAAUGUUAUUAUCUGUAAUGAAUAAUAAGAAAUACAAUAAUAAGG